UACCCGUGUCUUUCCGCAUGGUAUUACUCACUAAGACAAGAUAUACGAGCUCCUUCCUUAGAACGACUGCAAGAACUUCAAGGACGACAGAAUCGCCAUGCGCCAGCUUCUGGAAUACUCAGUCAGUAUAGAUCUGAAUAAAAUAUUUCGGAGAGGAAAUAAUACUUUUCAAGCAAAUGCUUCUUGCCACACAAUCGACGACAAAAUCACGGCAAAGCGCGACGAAAGUUGUAAACAACACACUUCAAUUAGCCGGCGUUGAUCGCAACAUGCUUUCAACCGUAUUUGUUGAUUUAAGCGCGCGAACGUCACACUACCUUGCAGAAAAAUAUCGAACUGGAUGCUACGAAUGCGCUUGCCUCGCAGCCGGGGCCAUGAAUUGGCGUGAAGCGCCAAAGCCAGCGAUCACUGCUGCUGUUGGAUGAAGAGGCACAACAGCCAACAGCCAGCAGCCAUCACCCGAAGUUCCCCACACCCUCGUUGUAUACAGCGACGCAGCGCACACGGGCAAACGGCGCUGCUGGGACAGCCGCAGCAUGAAGGUAUAUACGGAUGUAUGCAAAAGCGCAUUCGAGGCAUGAUCUUACAACCUACUACAUAUUUGAAUAGGUUGUUACUUUUCGUACUGUUUUGUCGUAAAAUUUGUGGUCCCGGAUUCGAGAGUUAUCAAAUAUAUGUACAUAUGUGCAUGAUCAUAUUUACAUAUGACAGUUCUGCAAGUUAAAGGAUUUUUACGACAUUCCUCCAACUCAGGACGUUAUUCAUUAUUCAGCAUAAAUAUACUACAUAAAUACAAUAUUGUCUGCGGAUUCCAGAUUCUUCUACCGUUUUUGAUGACCAUUUCAUGUAAGUACAUAUGUAUGGAUGUAUAUAAAAAUAUCGUUGGCUAAUGGAUUGCUCAUAGGACAGAUUUUAUUGAAAGGGAUCGCCGAGGGACUGGGUUAUUAUGCAGCACUUGAAAGCACACUCUGCAUAGAGAGACACAAAUAGGCGAUAAAUCAUCUCUAGUGGUUUCGGAAAUCUCUCCAUAGUACUUAAGUACUGUAUUGCAAAAAUUUUUAUUGUGUUUCUAGCUUGAAGAACAUUGUUACUCUCUUAACGCUUACUUCAAGCGCUUUAACUCACGGUUCUGCUGUAAUUUCUCACCAAGUAAAGUCAAUCUCUUUUUACCGAACCCAGGGCACUCACAAGUUAUCUGAUGAGCUGCCUAUGCUGAUUCUCUGUAUUUCUUGCAUUGGUUGUACUCAAUGUUUGUGCUUGUAACAACUUUUUGCUCUAUAAAAUAAACCACUAUUCCAAAAAUUUGUUGAAGUAUUAUAUUCCAGAACACAAUAAAAAUCUAAAGAAUAUUAUGAAAACCAUACUGAUAUUUAACUUCAUAAAUCCAAAUCAUUCUUGUUCAAUAACGUUGCUCAGCUAAGAGGUAGGAGAGUUGGUAUAAAUGCUACGAUAUGAACACGUAAGCGGGGUGAGGAGGCGGAAGCAAAGAUACGAAA
Molecule: long non-coding RNA, 1496 nt
Organism: Ceratitis capitata (Mediterranean fruit fly)
Lineage: Eukaryota; Metazoa; Arthropoda; Insecta; Diptera; Tephritidae
Exons: 4
Source: RefSeq, a predicted model, not a curated record